UAAAAAUGUGUAAGUGGCGUA
Molecule: non-coding RNA, 21 nt
Filed under: Caenorhabditis elegans
Lineage: Eukaryota; Metazoa; Nematoda; Chromadorea; Rhabditida; Rhabditidae
Source: RNAcentral